This 497-nucleotide ribosomal RNA is filed under the name uncultured bacterium. Its description in RNAcentral is "partial 16S ribosomal RNA". It matches the Rfam family "Bacterial small subunit ribosomal RNA", at positions 28 to 507 of the family's 1533-position model. The record is from RNAcentral.
GAUGAACGCUGGCGGCGUGCCUAAUACAUGCAAGUCGAGCGAACGGAUCAGAAGCUUUCUUCCCUGAUGUUAUCGGCGGACGGGUGAGUAACACGGGGAUAACCUACCUAUAAGACUGGGAUAAUAUCGGCAAACCGUAGCUAAUACCCGAUAAUAUUUUGAACUGCAUUGUUCAAAAGUGAAAGACGGUCUUGCUUACACUUAUAGCUUGAUACGCGCUGCAUUAGUUAGUUGUUAAGGUAACGGCUUAGCAACGCUAGGAUGGAUAGCCGACCUGAAAGCGUCGUCGGCCAGACUGGAAGUGAGAAAGGGCCGAGACUCCUACGGGAGGCAGCAGUAGGGAAUCUUACGCGAUGGGGGAGAGCCUAACAGAGCAAAACGGGGUGAGUGAUGAAGGACCAAGGCUGGGAGAGCGAUGUUAUCAGGAGAGAACAAAAGUGUAAUUAACCGGGAACAUAAUGACAGUACCUAAAGAAAAAGCCACGGCUAACUCCGUG